Molecule: transfer RNA, 87 nt
Filed under: Gemmatimonadota bacterium
Lineage: Bacteria; Pseudomonadati; Gemmatimonadota
Also listed under: 2 other names
Description: Gemmatimonadetes bacterium tRNA-Ser
Rfam family: tRNA
About the family: Transfer RNA (tRNA) molecules are approximately 80 nucleotides in length. Their secondary structure includes four short double-helical elements and three loops (D, anti-codon, and T loops). Further hydrogen bonds mediate the characteristic L-shaped molecular structure. tRNAs have two regions of fundamental functional importance: the anti-codon, which is responsible for specific mRNA codon recognition, and the 3' end, to which the tRNAs corresponding amino acid is attached (by aminoacyl-tRNA synthetases). tRNAs cope with the degeneracy of the genetic code in two manners: having more than one tRNA (with a specific anti-codon) for a particular amino acid; and 'wobble' base-pairing, i.e. permitting non-standard base-pairing at the 3rd anti-codon position.
Source: RNAcentral
GGACAGGUGGCCGAGCGGCUGAAGGCACGCGCCUGGAGAGCGCGUGAACGGGGAACCGUUCCGUGGGUUCGAAUCCCACCCUGUCCG